RNAcentral lists this ribosomal RNA (253 nucleotides) under uncultured bacterium. Its description in RNAcentral is "partial 16S ribosomal RNA". It matches the Rfam family "Bacterial small subunit ribosomal RNA", at positions 524 to 776 of the family's 1533-position model. The record is from RNAcentral.
GACGAAGGAUGCAAGCGUUAUCCGGAUUCAUUGGGUUUAAAGGGUGCGUAGGCGGUUUUGUAAGUCAGUGGUGAAAUCUCAGAGCUCAACUCUGAAUGUGCCAAUGAUACUGCAGGACUUGAGAGCAGUCGAGGUAGCUGGAAUGUGUAGUGUAGCGGUGAAAUGCAUAGAGAUUACACAGAACACCAAUUGCGAAGGCAAGUUACUAGACUGUUUCAGACGCUGAUGCACGAAAGUGUGGGUAGCGAACAGG